This is a long non-coding RNA of Nilaparvata lugens (brown planthopper), 868 nucleotides long. RefSeq lists it as uncharacterized. The transcript has 3 exons. NCBI's taxonomy places the organism in Eukaryota, Metazoa, Arthropoda, Insecta, Hemiptera, Delphacidae. The record is from RefSeq and is a predicted model, not a curated record.
UGUGGGCUAUUGUAUGACUGGGGGAUAAUAAGGAGGUUCAAGCUAAAAAUAAAUAAUUAGACACUAAAUUAUUUAGUCUCUUAUUUCCAUCGGUAUAAGAGUAUCAGAGCCUAUAAUUUUUUUUCAAAUGUUCAGCGUUUCAAAAUCUUUUCAAAUCACUAACUUUAAAAUUAUUUUUUCCGAAUUCAAUCCUGAAUCCAAACACCUAGUUCAAUAAUUUUUUUUUGCCGUACCUGUGGAAUUUAUCCACUAAAUGGAACCGAACUUAGCACUUAGAACAAAAAUGAUUCACAUACCGUACAUAAUCUGUUAUUUAAUAGAGUUUUUUUUGGAAAUUGCAAAAAAUCAAAGGUUACAUUAUGAAUUCAUUAGACAUACUUGAUCCCUUUGAGAAUACUUUAAUUUUAUUCUUCAACUAAAGUAUUUUUUUCAUUGUUCAAAGGAGACGUAUGUCGCGUCAUGCGCCGAUAAAGCUUCGGAAGGGCGCACAAUCACAAGUAUCAUGGGGAAGCUGGUGACCCUUCCUUACCAUCCAAAGCAAGGACGACCAUAAGAGAGAGAAAAACCUUUCAAGGACCUUCUGAUAACUGAAGUUAUGAUUGAAGCUGCUACAAACCGGUGCUGGCCGAAGGCAGAAUUGAAGCAGGUCUAGUUGAAAGCGGCUUCGUGGCUUGCACAAGCCCAAUCCAAGUUGGACAAAAUGAAUCAGCCAUCAACACCAGCUACAAUAACAAUAAUCGACAUCGAUUGUGAAGAUGAACCUCUCGAAUAGAUAAUAAUAUAAUAGUAGUGACAGAAAAGAUCAUAAAACGUGUCUACAUGUUCAAUUUACUGAUAUCAUAAACAAUAAAUUAGUAAUUGAUUAUAA